AGGCUUCAGCUGCUCUGGGGUUGGAAACACAGGCCUCACGCUGCUCUGGGUCUCCACUGCCUUCCGGAACUGAGUGUACACAUCAGGCAGCCUAACGUACCGGGAGGAGAUAUAAUAAAAACGGAAGUCAGAAAAUCAAAACAGAUGUGGAGGAUAUAGCGGUAACAAAUGGAUGGAUGGAUGUCAGGAGCGUUGUCUGGAUCAUGGGAGGUUCACAGUUUAUCUCAGAGUCGUCAAAGACCAGUUAGACGUACUUGACUAUCAAAAGACACAUUGUAAGAGCUCACUGCAUUACAAAAACAUGGAAGACAAGCACAACUUCAACACAAAUGUGUGGUCUUCGACACUUAGACAGGCGAUAUCCUCGCUCACCGCGACACGUGAUGAAAUGGCAGAUCAUCUCUGUGGUACAGCGUCGACCCCCAGCAGGUACGAACUUUCACCUUCAACCGUGCACAGACAUCCUUCACGUUUUUCUCCACACUCAGCUCUUCUGAAGUCACCUGGGGGGCAUGAAACAGCGUCAAAUUCAUCAGAUGAUGCAGUAAAACCGAUGCUAAUAAGAAAUGGGUGUUUGUGUUUUCUGUACUGUACCUCUUCGUGAAAAGCCACGGUGCUGACUGAGCCCAGUUGCUUGAUGAGCUCGGCGACAACAUCCUCCGGUUUACCCCGUCUCACCACCAGGUUGCUGUCACAUUCCCACACACACACACACACACAGACAAACAUACAAAAAUAUACAUAAGUCCGUGUUCACAUGUCUGGGUUCCAUGCCAGGCAAGCUGCAUCCUGGGUAGAAGGGCGCAUAAGCCACCCCCCCACCACCACCACCACUGGCUGGAAAAAAAUGAUGGUGUGCAACAGCAGUGUUAAUUCAAACAUAACCCCCCCAUAAGACCAGGUGCAUCCUGAUCCUGUCAUAUCUGCUGCUGUGCAUCAAUACAGUCCUGGAGAGUGGAGGGGGUCUGCACUGAGUGCACACGUAACAGUAACAUGACACAUAAGCUCAUGAUCGUUUUCCUCUGUGGAAACAUGUUAUGGUGUUUUCUGUGUUACAUCCAUGAAGGAUAUGAAGCGUGGAGGAAGUCUGCAACGUCGACGGUCCGGUGCAUAUGAGCAGAAAUUGACACUGUUAUGCAGAACGUUAUGUGUGUAGUUUAUAAUCACAUUAAAAUUUGAACGUCUUCAA
This is a long non-coding RNA of Solea solea (common sole), 1189 nucleotides long. RefSeq lists it as uncharacterized. The record is from RefSeq and is a predicted model, not a curated record. Lineage: Eukaryota; Metazoa; Chordata; Actinopteri; Pleuronectiformes; Soleidae. The transcript has 2 exons.